RNAcentral lists this transfer RNA (87 nucleotides) under Oscillospiraceae bacterium. Its description in RNAcentral is "tRNA-Leu". It matches the Rfam family "tRNA". From Rfam's summary of the family: Transfer RNA (tRNA) molecules are approximately 80 nucleotides in length. Their secondary structure includes four short double-helical elements and three loops (D, anti-codon, and T loops). Further hydrogen bonds mediate the characteristic L-shaped molecular structure. tRNAs have two regions of fundamental functional importance: the anti-codon, which is responsible for specific mRNA codon recognition, and the 3' end, to which the tRNAs corresponding amino acid is attached (by aminoacyl-tRNA synthetases). tRNAs cope with the degeneracy of the genetic code in two manners: having more than one tRNA (with a specific anti-codon) for a particular amino acid; and 'wobble' base-pairing, i.e. permitting non-standard base-pairing at the 3rd anti-codon position. Lineage: Bacteria; Bacillati; Bacillota; Clostridia; Eubacteriales; Oscillospiraceae. The record is from RNAcentral. RNAcentral also lists the same sequence under 2 other names.
GCCGGUGUGUUGGAACUGGUAGACGAGGUGGACUCAAAAUCCAUUGCCAGCAAUGGCGUGCGGGUUCGAUUCCCGCCACCGGCACCA